CGAGUGAAGCGGCAACAGCUCAAAUUUGAAGAUCUGGCCUUCUGGUCCGAAUUGUAAUUUGUAGAGGAUGCUUUUGGUUAGGUACCUUUCGAGUUCCUUGGAACAGGACGCCUUAGAGGGUGAGAGCCCCGUACGAUUGGAUACCGAGCCUCUGUAAAGCUCCUUCGACGAGUCGAGUAGUUUGGGAAUGCUGCUCUAAAUGGGAGGUAAAUUUCUUCUAAAGCUAAAUACCGGCCAGAGACCGAUAGCGCACAAGUAGAGUGAUCGAAAGAUGAAAAGCACUUUGAAAAGAGGGUUAAAUAGUACGUGAAAUUGUUGAAAGGGAAGGGCUUAUGACCAGACCUUUGCCUUGCGGAUCAUCCGGUGUUCUCACCGGUGCACUCCGCUUGGUUGAGGCCAGCAUCAGUUUUGGCGGCCGGAUAAAGACUUCAGGAAUGUGACUCCUCCGGGAGUGUUAUAGCCUGCUGUGUAAUACGGCCGCUGGGACUGAGGACCGCGCUUCGGCUAGGAUGCUGGCAUAAUGGUCAUCAGCCACCCGUCUUGAAACACGGACCAAGGAGUCGAACAUUUAUGCGAGUUUUUGGGUGUUAAACCCUCAAGCGUAAUGAAAGUGAACGGAGGUGAGAGCCCUUACGGGUGCAUCAUCGACCGAUCCUGAUGUCUUCGGAUGGAUUUGAGUAAGAGCAUAACUGUUCGGACCCGAAAGAUGGUGAACUAUGCGUGGAUAGGGUGAAGCCAGAGGAAACUCUGGUGGAGGCUCGCAGCGGUUCUGACGUGCAAAUCGAUCGUCAAAUCUGCGCAU
Molecule: ribosomal RNA, 802 nt
Filed under: Microdochium bolleyi
Lineage: Eukaryota; Fungi; Ascomycota; Sordariomycetes; Xylariales; Microdochiaceae
Description: partial large subunit ribosomal RNA
Rfam family: Eukaryotic large subunit ribosomal RNA
Source: RNAcentral